Molecule: ribosomal RNA, 468 nt
Filed under: uncultured bacterium
Lineage: Bacteria
Description: partial 16S ribosomal RNA
Rfam family: Bacterial small subunit ribosomal RNA
Source: RNAcentral
GACGAACGCUGGCGGCGUGCUUAACACAUGCAAGUCGAACGGAAAGGCCCUGCUUUUGUGGGGUGCUCGAGUGGCGAACGGGUGAGUAACACGUGAGUAACCUGCCCUUGACUUUGGGAUAACUUCAGGAAACUGGGGCUAAUACCGGAUAGGAGCUCCUGCUGCAUGGUGGGGGUUGGAAAGUUUCGGCGGUUGGGGAUGGACUCGCGGCUUAUCAGCUUGUUGGUGGGGUAGUGGCUUACCAAGGCUUUGACGGGUAGCCGGGCUGAGAGGGUGACCGGCCACAUUGGGACUGAGAUACGGCCCAGACUCGUACGGGAGGCAGGAGUGGGGAAUAGUGCACAAUGGGCGGAAGCCUGAUGCAGCAACGCCGCGUGCGGGAUGACGGCCUGCGGGUUGUAUACCGCUUUCGCCUGUGACGAAGCGUGAGUGACGGUAAUGGGUAAAGAAGCACCGGCUAACUACGUG